Molecule: ribosomal RNA, 497 nt
Filed under: uncultured bacterium
Lineage: Bacteria
Description: partial 16S ribosomal RNA
Rfam family: Bacterial small subunit ribosomal RNA
Source: RNAcentral
GAUGAACGCUGGCGGCGUGCCUAAUACAUGCAAGUCGAGCGAACGGACGAGAAGCUUGCUUCUCUGAUGUUAGCGGCGGACGGGUGAGUAACACGUGGAUAACCUACCUAUAAGACUGGGAUAACUUCGGGAAGCCGGAGCUAAUACCGGAUAAUAUUUUGAACCGCAUGGUUCAAAAGUGAAAGACGGUCUUGCUGUCACUUAUAGAUGGAUCCGCGCUGCAUUAGCUAGUUGGUAAGGUAACGGCUUACCAAGGCAACGAUGCAUAGCCGACCUGAGAGGGUGAUCGGCCACACUGGAACUGAGACACGGUCCAGACUCCUACGGGAGGCAGCAGUAGGGAAUCUUCCGCAAUGAGCGAAAGCCUGACGGAGCAACGCCGCGUGAGUGAUGAAGGUCUUCGGAUCGUAAAACUCUGUUAUUAGGGAAGAACAUAUGUGUAAGUAACUGUGCACAUCUUGACGGUACCUAAUCAGAAAGCCACGGCUAACUACGUG